ACCCGCUGAACUUAAGCAUAUCAAUAAGCGGAGGAAAAGAAACCAACAGGGAUUGCCUUAGUAACGGCGAGUGAAGCGGCAAAAGCUCAAAUUUGAAAUCGGCCACCAGGUCGAGUUGUAAUUUGUAGAUUGUAUCUUGAGAGCGGAUUAAAGUCUGUUGGAACACAGCGCCUUAGAGGGUGGCAGCCCCGUAAAAUCUAUUCUCAUUGUAAGAUACUUUCGAAGAGUCGAGUUGUUUGGGAAUGCAGCUCUAAGUGGGAGGUAAAUUCCUUCUAAAGCUAAAUAUUGACGAGAGACCGAUAGCGAACAAGUACUGUGAAGGAAAGAUGAAAAGCACUUUGAAAAGAGAGUGAAAAAGUACGUGAAAUUGUUAAAAGGGAAGGGUAUUGAAUCAGACUUGGUGCUGUUGUUCAACUGUGUUUUGGCACAGUGUACUCAGCAGUACUAGGCCAAGGUGGGGUGUUUGGGAGUGAAAAAGAAGUUGGAACGUAACUCUUCGGAGUGUUAUAGCCUACUUUCAUAGCUCCUCAGGCGCCUCAGGACUGCGCUUCGGCAAGGACCUUGGCAUAAUGAUUCUAUACCGCCCGUCUUGAAACACGGACCAAGGAG
This 609-nucleotide ribosomal RNA is filed under the name uncultured fungus. Its description in RNAcentral is "eukaryotic LSU rRNA". It matches the Rfam family "Eukaryotic large subunit ribosomal RNA", at positions 23 to 673 of the family's 3401-position model. The record is from RNAcentral. Lineage: Eukaryota; Fungi.